RNA transcript from Brienomyrus brachyistius, 5908 nucleotides. It is a transcript of the gene named MTSS I-BAR domain containing 2b, with no coding region annotated. NCBI's taxonomy places the organism in Eukaryota, Metazoa, Chordata, Actinopteri, Osteoglossiformes, Mormyridae. The transcript is spliced from 16 exons. The record is from RefSeq and is a predicted model, not a curated record.
CUUGUGUGCCCGUAUGUUGGUCUGGGCGAGGAGGCGUGUGACAGGGAAGCCGGCGGACGGGCCCCCCUCCGACUCCCACGGAUCGGAUUACAGCCCUUCCACUCCACAGCCUCCAGACGGCUGCCUGCAGUCCGAUCACUGGAAACCCAGCGCUCACGGGGGGACGCCUUUCUCAUUUUGAUUUGCCUCUGUCUAAUUUUAUGCUUAUUUUUUUCCAAGAGGCUCAUUCUGACUUUUAAAAUCGUUCUCUGAGGAUUAAAAUGCCCUUCCGGCCGUAUGUCCCCGUGUUCUUCUGCCUUGAAGAGUAAAUCCGGGCGUGAGAGGGGAGAGAAGAAACCUCCCCACUGUCCAUCACACGCUGAUCGUGAACGGGGUAGAGAAGAGGGACCACCGCCAGCACUUCAUCUCAUUUGUUUAUUAUUUUUCUGGCAAUCAUAAAUAUACAUCCCGGUUCCCGGGGAGGGAGAGCAGAGUGGGGGCGAAGAAACGCCGAAAGUCACCAUCUCUUCAUUGGAAAUAAUUGAUUUUUUUUUCUCUUAUUAUAAUUUUGUCUACUAAAUAAUUUGUGAAAGGUGGAUUUGUUAACAUGGAGACGGUGGAAAAAGAGUGUGGAGCGCUUGGAGGGCUCUUCCAGGCAAUCGUUAAUGACAUGAAGUGCUCGUACCCAGUGUGGGAGGACUUCAAUGCCAAGGCCACCAAGUUACACUCCCAGCUCAGGACAACCGUACUGGCAGCGGUGGCCUUCCUCGAUGCCUUCCAGAAGGUGGCAGACAUGGCAACCAACACCAGAGGUGCCACGCGAGACAUCGGAUCGGCGCUGACGCGGAUGUGCAUGCGGCACCGCAGCAUAGAAGCCAAGCUGCGCCACUUCACAAAUGCCUUGAUGGAGAGUCUAAUCACCCCCCUGCAAGACCGCAUUGAAGAGUGGAAGAAGACAGCCAACCAGAUGGACAAAGAUCAUGCCAAGGAGUACAAGAGAUCCCGUCAUGAGAUCAAGAAGAAGUCCUCCGACACGCUGAAGUUACAGAAGAAGGCCAGGAAAGGUAGAGGAGACCUGCAGCCCCAGCUGGACAGCGCCAUGCAGGACGUGACUGACAUGUGCCUGCUGAUGGAGGAGAUGGAGAAGCAGGCGGUGCGCAGGGCACUGGUGGAGGAGAGGGGUCGAUUCUGCACCUUCAUCAGCUUCCUGCAGCCUGUAGUGAAUGGAGAGAUCGCCAUGCUGGGAGAAAUCACGCACCUCCAGGGCAUUAUCGAUGACCUUGUGGUACUGACCACCGACCCCCAGAAACUGCCCCCCGCUAGCGAGCAGGUGAUUAACGACCUGAAGGGGUCCGACUACAGCUGGUCUUACCAAACCCCCCCCUCGUCCCCCAGCAGCUCCGGCUCCAGGAAGAGCAGCAUGUGCAGCAGCGUAAACAGCGCCCACAGUAGUGCUUCCCGCUCCUCAGGCGGCUCGCAGACUCACUCACCCAGUUCGUCCUAUCGCUACCGCAGCCUGGCUCAGCCGCCACGGGGGGGCACCCAGCGCCUCUGCAGCGUUUCCUCCCAUGACUCGGGUUUCGUAUCGCAGGAUGCCAACAUCUACUCGAAGCCGCCGUCGCCUAUGCCCUCUGACAUCACCAGCCAGAAGUCCUCCAGCUCGGCCUCUUCUGAAGCUUCGGAAACCUGCCAGUCGGUCAGUGAGUGCAGCUCGCCUACCACGUUUGGCUUGACCUUCUCUACCUUCCGCCCUGCUCUCUCUCACAAUGGCUCCAUCAAGCCUCUACCUCUCAUACUGUCUGCAUCCCUACCCUAUAAUCGCUCCCCUGGAUCCAAUAAUUCAUCUCCCACAUCAAAGGUUCCUUGUUGGAAGGACUGGUCAAAACCUGUUCCCUAUGAACAGCCAUUGGUCAAUACGCUACAGCGCAGAAAGGACCCACCGGAGCGCCUGAGAGAGCCAGAAACCUCUCCUGCUCCCCCGGCCUACACCGCGAUACAUCCAGAAGAUUCCCAGAGGCCUAGAAUGUCUCCAGCCACAAUUGCUGCCAAGCACGGGGAGGAGGUGUCCCCCGCCGCCAGUGACCUGGCCAUGCUGCUGACGAGAGGCCUGAGUGUGGAGCAGCAGACCAGCAGCCACGACUCGCUGCAGUUCUCCAGCGGCUACAGCACGCAGACAACCACGCCCUCCUGCUCGGAGGACGCCAUCCCUUCACACGGUAGCCCGACUUGGAGGAGCGAGGCUUUCAAACCACACAUGUCCGAGUACGAAUGCUACUCCGUGAACGGCGACACCGAGGUGGAGGUGCAGGCCGACUUCGAUAAGUCCUCCACCAUUCCGCGUCACAGCAACAUCGCUCAGAACUACCGGCGCAUGAUCCAGACCAAGAGGCCGGCCAGCACCGCGGGUCUGCCCAGCGGCAUGGGGCCCCAGGGUGUGCCACCCGGGGGAGGGGGCGGGGGAGGCGGUCUGGGUACCCCAGGGACGGCCACCAUUCGGCGGACCCCAUCCACCAAGCCCGGGGUGAGACGCACCCUAUCCAGCGCGGGCCCCAUCCCCAUCCGGCCGCCCAUCGUGCCGGUGAAGACGCCCACGGUACCCGACUCCCCAAGCCACACGGGACCGUCGGUGUGGGCAGGCAGCGAAGAGUGUGUCUUCUACACGGACGACGCCUCGCCUGGGGUGCCCGAGUUCAGCAGGGCGUCGCCGAAGCGCAUGAGCCUGCCCAACACGAUGUGGGGGUCCGGUGGGGGCCUGGAGACAAGCGUCUACACCCAGCAGCUCGAGGAAGACCAGCUGCUCGCCGCCAACCGCCACAGCCUGGUGGAGAAGAUCGGCGAGUUGGUGGCCAGCGCCCACGCCCUGGGUGAGGGCCAGUUCCCCUUCCCCUCGCUGCCCGAUGAGUCCACGCAAGACCCCCAGCCCUCGGAGGGAGAGGACAUGCUCGUGUCGAUCCGCCGUGGGGUGCGGCUCCGCAAGACCAUCUCAAACGACAGGUCGGCGCCCAGGAUUUUGUGAUCGGGCCCCGGGACAAGACCGGCCGGCACCAAGGUGUCUGUAUCACUGACUUUAUAGAGAAUAUAACGUUUGUGAAGAUAACAAGAAUAAAUAAGUAAUUAAAAGAAUUGAAUGAAUAUUAAUAAUUAAUGAAACGUUCAAGGCUCAGGCCUCUCUAAAUGUAGUCUCUAUGGACGCAUGUUUUCUAAUUAAUGCCACUGGUACUUUGACUGUAGAGAUGUGAUGAGCUGCUUAGGAGUAUCUGCUGUGUUUCCUGCCCAGCUGUUAACCACUGCCCCCACACUCCAGAAAUUCCCUGACAUCUGACCCCUAGGAGGCACAGUUGACAGGUUAUUAGGGGACAGGCUGAAAAACAAGCCCUCUCCACUUUGUCUGUGUCCGUGUGUGUGUCUGUCAGACUGGGAAGGCCUCUCCAGAUGGUCUCAUGAUGGGCAACGAAAGUAGCCAUCUUUUCUGCUGAACAAGAGUAACAAUUUCCUGGAAGAAAUUGAUUAAUAAACCUUUAGGGUUGUUUUUUUUAAUUAUAACCUUUUGGUAAUUAUAAGGCAUCUGAAAGCAUAUGUAGACUAUUACCCUGCUUCGUAUCGUAUGUGGGUCUUAUAGGCCUUUUUAGUAUGUCUUAAUGCAGACUUUGGUAAUUUGAAGGUGAACUCCCAUAAUGGCCACCAGAUGGCAGUCAGGCCUCAUCGUGUGUCGCGUGGCUGUAGUGAUUGUUUCGUGUGAAGUGUGUCGUACACAGAGUAAUUCAUAUGAUGCGAUAGGGAAAGGGAAGUGCUAUGCAGAGCAAGAUUACAGAUAGAGGAGCGGAAGAUCUUUUAAGGUGAAUAAUUUCCUGCAUUAUCAGGAUCUUGAAGGGGGUGCUCAUUUUGCUGUGUGAGCAAGUUUUACUGGGGUGUAGCCAUGCCGAGAGGGCUGUGAGAACGCGCGGACUGGGUGGGAAAUGAGGUUUCACUGAACAGCUCUGAUACUGGGAAGAUAUACAGAUGGACUGCAGAAAAUAAGACUUUCGCUGAAAUUGCUGUAUUUACGGAAACGUAGCAUCGGAGCAGAUUGUGACUGAUCCAUUCCUGUGUGAGAUAAUGAGUGGCUAUGAAUCCUUCUUAUACAAGGAUAUAUAGGAGAUGUAAAGAUGUUUUAUCCGGUUAUUUAAAGCCAAAGUAUGUUCUGUACAGUUUGAAAGAAGCUGGUAAGGAUGGAGAACAGAGCCCACGUUGUUUUUGCGUUUAAAGGAAACUUAAAAUAAAUACUUUGAUGAUUAAAGCAAUGCAAGAAUACCAAGCACAGGGAUGUGUGGUGUAAAGGAAGCUGGGAAUUGCAGGUGUGUGUUUGUGUGGUUGCUUGGGAGGGGGGGUGUAGCGGCGACAGCUGCUUCAGUCAGGAGGCCAGCGGCUGCUAAGUCAUGUAAUUACACUGAAGCACAGCUCACCACGAUGUACAUAAACGAGAAGAUGAAGUCUAAUUGUACAAGUCGCAAAUGUUUUUGACACUAAUAUUGUAUAGAGAAUUCUGGGAAAAAAAGAAAAGGCAUAUGUCCACUAUAUCGGAGCAAGAACAGCAAUGUAAUUAAUGUAUUUUUGAGUGAAUGAAAGAGCAUAUAAUUACAUUUAAGUAAAAAGAACGCAGCAGUUGGGUCAGUGAUCACGCGAGAGUAUAUUUUGUCUGUGACUUGUUCUCUUUUUCACCUGUUUUUACUUUGACCAAAAUAAUGGAUGAAUUUGAUCGUUUAAUUGCGGAGCAGCCGAAGCGGUUUGGACGGAUCCGACGGGAUCCCGGCGUGGCUGCAGAUGCCUGCAUUGCUCCGCAUUGCUGCGUCGCCGCCGGUCCCAUCUCACAUGUGACAGCCCCCCAGCCCAGUCUUCCCAAGUGCUUUCAACACAAUCUAUUAAGUGCUUACAGGGAGCGUCCUGCUAUAAGUGUACACUGAUUAUGGACCAAUCUAACGGCUUUUCCCCCCAGACUCGACUGCCCGUUUGGCCACCUGUAUUGACUGCAGGUGGUGUGUCAUUAAGAGGAGGCCCCCUGUCAUUAAGCCCUGAUGAAGCUAUAUCGGGGUAACAUUAGCGGUAAUUGAUUUCCCGACAGAGGGUUUUUUGUUCUGCUCUGCACGCAGCUUGCGCGCAUCAGCAACAUGCCGCAUCGCAAAGCUGCACUUAUCCUCACUCCGCUUCAAAAACACAAGGCAGGACAGGAAUUGGGUCACGUCUUGUUCUAGUUCCCCGAGGUGCCGGCGGUGCCGUCCCUCUGCCCUGAGCCUUAAGGCGCUGAUGUAACGAAGCAUGGACGCCGCUUACAGGACAGCGCUUGACUGGCCGAUAGCGGAGUGUGAUAUUUGCCCUGGCGCAACACCUACUCGCCAGCCCACACACAUCCUGUCCCACCGUGUCAGAAAGCGUCGAUCCUGCACCCCCAGCUCCUGCUGGUCUAAGAGAAGCGAAGCUGCUUACGGGAGGGACCUUGACCUUUCCUCAUCUGUCUAGUUUUAGGCAGUUCCUUUGGACUGUGCCCUGGAAAAAUCAAACGUCUCUUUUUCUGGAGCUUUCCGUGGUCUCCGUGGUGCUUCUUCCAACCCAGCUGCUUCUCUGAACUUGAUCUUUGCCACAGUUUUGUUUAUUAAUGAUUUAUUAUAAUUAGUAUUAUUGUGACAAGAUGUAUGUGUGUGCGCUGUUUUUACAAAAACAAAACUGUUCCUACCGUUGACAUCAAACACUGCAGAUCUGUUGUCGCACUAUCCACUCUUUUCCAAUUUAAUUUAUUGCUUCCCCCCCCCCCCCCCAAACGUUUUGCCACAUCUGCAAUGGCAGGUCUUUCUUUAUCUGUAAUAUUUAUCUUUUUCAUUUAACUUUGGACACUGCUAACGUAACAAAAUGCACUGUGAUUACUCCAGUAUUAAUAAAAGUUGUACUUAAAUUCAAA